GACAGAAGGAAGUCUAUAUGAGCAAGUUGAGGCACCCCAAAAGAGCUUGUCGACUUCAUUCUGGUGGCUCAAUCUCAAAGGAUCCCUUGAAAGAUAUACUAUGCUGGCCAACAUAACAUAUCCCAUAGUCCAUGUGUGACUCCAUAAAGGAUCUCUUCCAGAACUCUUCUGGGCAUCUGGAUGACCCCACAUGGACUCUUGUGGGGUUUAAAGUGGGCAGAGGCCUGAAGGCAAGAAAAGGGAUGGGGGGCCGUAGAUUUAGCUCAGUGGUUCUUUUGCCUGCCUCGCAAGUGCGAGUUCGAUCCCCGGUACCAAAAAAAAAAGAAAAAAGAAAAGGGAUGGGGUCCACACUGUCUCCGCUGGUGAUGUUCAGCGCAGGAUAUGCUGCCUCCCUCAAGUCCAACAUACCAGAUAUGGACUUAGAAUUUUCCAGGGAAAUGCUUCUCUUUCCCUUGUCUCCUGAGGCAUAGGCUAUGGUUGCCUAGCAUUAAAGGUGAUUAAAUUCAUCAACAUUUGUAUGGGGUGUAUAAGAAUCCACUGAAGAAUGAACAUUAAUGUACUCGGAGUAGUCUCUAUUUUUAUUAAUAUAAAUAUGAUGUGAUGCACAGACUUGAAGAUUAAUAUUUGGACAUUCAUUUUUAGUCAUUGUUACAAAAGGGGCUGCCUUUUUCGGUACUCAAAGCUGAAAAGCAAACAAGAAAACCAGCACCAAAAUUCUCACACAUCCAUAGUUAUCUUCCGGGAUAGCAACACAUCAUAGGCUUAUAAUGGUUGUAGCAUAAUGCAAAAAUGACAAGCAGAUUUUCCGGUUGUGAACAAGUUGAAAAGUUACACCAGAAAACACUGGACAAACCGAACCAAUGGCUUUUUUAACCUAUCAGAGAGAGAACUGAGGUUGCAAGCUAAACCACCACUCUGAAAGACAGACCUUGAAUCACAACUGACAUCUGCUUACCUGGAGAAGUUCUCCAGAGCCAUAAACAGAGAACACUUACAUGAUAAAUGUGCU
Long non-coding RNA from Heterocephalus glaber (naked mole-rat), 1009 nucleotides. The record is from Ensembl. Lineage: Eukaryota; Metazoa; Chordata; Mammalia; Rodentia; Bathyergidae.